UACGUAGGGUGCGAGCGUUAAUCGGAAUUACUGGGCGUAAAGCGUGCGCAGGCGGCGCCGCAAGUCAGGCGUGAAAUCCCCGAGCUUAACUUGGGAAUGGCGCUUGAAACUACGGUGCUGGAGUGUGGCAGAGGGAGGUGGAAUUCCACGUGUAGCGGUGAAAUGCGUAGAGAUGUGGAGGAACACCGAUGGCGAAGGCAGCCUCCUGGGCCAACACUGACGCUCAUGACACGAAAGCGUGGGGAGCAAACAGG
This 254-nucleotide ribosomal RNA is filed under the name uncultured bacterium. RNAcentral's name for it is "partial 16S ribosomal RNA". It matches the Rfam family "Bacterial small subunit ribosomal RNA", at positions 524 to 776 of the family's 1533-position model. The record is from RNAcentral.